RNAcentral lists this long non-coding RNA (2322 nucleotides) under Gossypium raimondii (Peruvian cotton). RNAcentral's name for it is "long non-coding RNA (GRAI_LNC003102)". Lineage: Eukaryota; Viridiplantae; Streptophyta; Magnoliopsida; Malvales; Malvaceae. The record is from RNAcentral.
AAACCAGUACAGGUUACAGAGAAUAAUCAUCGGAAACAGAAUAAGACGUGAGAUAAGUUCAUGUCAUGACUGUAAGUCAAGCACCAAGUUUCCUACACUAUUUCUUUUCCUUCCUGAGUUUGACAUCUUGUCGAGAGGUCCCACGAUGAGAGAAUUGGAAGGAAGUUUCCUCCAUGACUAAUGGUUUAGAUAUCUUUUUAUAAACUGUGGUUCACAAAUAUCAACCCAACUCAUCACGUGCAGUUAAGAAGCCUGGAUUCCGUCACUAACAAAAGUAGAACUUCAUUGAUUGGUCCAUAUUUUCUUUUGCCUUUCCAUGUUUUCGUUUUAUUAGAAGAAAAAAGACUCAGUGCUUUGAUAGUUACUUGGAUGGAUAGAUAAUUAAAGCUAAAGGAGAUUUGCUUGGUGUAGAAAAAGUGUGGAAAGUUGGCAGUCCGGACGGUUCAUGCAUUUGCAGAAUUUUCCUUCCGGUUACAAGAUAGAGCAAAGAAAUUUCAGUGCAGAAAAAUGAAGCCUUAUAUUCCAAUUUUUUUCCAGCUAUGUGAAAGGUAAGUAAACAUUAUUAAACAUCUAGUCAUAAUUAUUUAUUUUUAAAAUGUACCCUACGGGUAUGUAAAUUAAUAUAUGAAAAAUAUUUUAAAAAAUAUGGUAAAAUCAAAACAAUAUAUCAAAAUAAUUUGAUAUCUAUAUGUACCAGAAGUAGAAAAAAAAAAACAACAAUGCUACUGGUUGGCACUAAAAAUCCUGUUAUGAACAACAUAGUCUGGGCAAAGGAAUCCUUGUACACUUCAGUCUUCAACCUGCUAACUCUAUUCUCUUGAGCUUUCCAUUUUGCAUCCCUUUCUUAUCUAGAAGUUCAAGUCAAGCUAGCAUUGAGUUAAGAGUAAAUAAUAAGCACAGGUGAAAUGGCAAAAAUAUGUGGUGUUAGUUAAUAUCAUUCUCAAAUUCAAUCCUUCCAUAAUUCAUGUCUCAUACCAUACAAAUACUAAAAAUAUCCACUUCAUGCAGUUUCCUCCCAUUUUCUUAUGUUGACGAGGAAAUUUUCCAAGUCAACUAAACUGUUACACCAUUUUUUUAUUGAAAAACGGGGUCGACUUGGGUUUUGAAAAUGAAAAUGGGAGUCGCCACCAAUCUUUUUUAUAAGGUGUUAUUGGAUCACCUUGCAAAGCGUUGUUUUUAAUAAACAAUUUAAUUUUAUUAAAACAACGAUUUUGGUCCACGAAAUUCAGAAAAAACGGGUUCGGGAGUCGGUUACGCACGAGGAAGGAUUAGCACCCUCGAUACGCCCAAAAUUGGUACUUAGUUGAUUACUUAAAAUUUUUUUAUUUUUGUUUUUUGGCAAAUGUAUACUGUUUUUUUUAUAUAUAUGUAAAUAUAUGUAUAUAUAUAAAUAUAAAAAGAACAGAUGCAAAAAAAGAGAUGUGAAAAAGAAACCUUGAAACUUGUUUUUUUUAUUUCUUUUAAAGUUCUUGUACCAAAAUCUAAAAAAAAAAAAAAAAAACCCUAAAAUACAUUUUUCGUUGGCUUUUAUAGCCCAUCUUUGCUACCGUUUCUUGUCUUUUCUUCUUUGAUUUUGCAGGUGCAAGUGAUGGGACAGUGGCGGUGGCACUAGGUCGGCGACCAGCAGGGCAGCACCUAGGGUUUGAAAAAUUUUAAUUUUUUGUUUCUGAUUUGGGUUUCUGGGCUAGGGUUAGAUUUGGGCUUAUUAAGCUUUUUGUUUUCUGAUUUGGGCUGUGGUGUAUUGGGCUAGGCUAGUUGGAUCUGGGGCUGUUUGGUUAGGGUAAUGGGUUGUUUGUAAUUGGGCCCCGGGUCAAAAAUUGGGCCCUACAUAAACUGUUCAGUAAAUAAAAGAUUAAUGAUGCGGUCGGUCUUAUUAAAUCGUUUCAAGAUUUUUUUUAGUGGCAAUUACUAAUUACAAGUGGAAACACGAAAGGAAACUCAAGGUAGCAAAUACAAGACAACCUUGAGUUUGAGUUGGUAUGCACGAUAUUGCCGAGAUAUUACAUGAAGGGUACUAAAAUUAUUCAAAAAAAAAUGUUUCUUUUUGGGACAAUCAAAUAUUAGUUUUCAGCUUUAAAUACUUGUAAUCAAUAAUAAAUCCCUCGGAGGUUUUGCAGGUCGAUAUUAGAUGGUCUUUGUUUAUGAGGUUGAGCCUGCAAGGUAUGGAAACUUUGUUUAUAUCCGAUUUCCAGUGAUGGUGAUGAUAAAUUAGCUGUAAUCCCUAAACCUGGAAUGGCCAGAUAGUGGUGAAAUGAACUUUUGGUAGCUUUGUCUAUAGGGAUAAUAUAUUUUCUCCUUUAGCUAGUUUCACUUCGAUUUUGG